This 493-nucleotide ribosomal RNA is filed under the name uncultured bacterium. RNAcentral describes it as "partial 16S ribosomal RNA". It matches the Rfam family "Bacterial small subunit ribosomal RNA", at positions 27 to 507 of the family's 1533-position model. The record is from RNAcentral.
GAGUGAACGCUGGCGGUAGGCCUAACACAUGCAAGUCGAACGGCAGCACAGUAAGAGCUUGCUCUUACGGGUGGCGAGUGGCGGACGGGUGAGGAAUACAUCGGAAUCUACUUUUUCGUGGGGGAUAACGUAGGGAAACUUACGCUAAUACCGCAUACCACCUACGGGUGAAAGCAGGGGAUCUUCGGACCUUGCGCGAUUGAAUGAGCCGAUGUCGGAUUAGCUAGUUGGCGGGGUAAGGGCCCACCAAGGCGACGAUCCGUAGCUGGUCUGAGAGGAUGAUCAGCCACACUGGAACUGAGACACGGUCCAGACUCCUACGGGAGGCAGCAGUGGGGAAUAUUGGACAAUGGGCGCAAGCCUGAUCCAGCCAUACCGCGUGGGUGAAGAAGGCCUUCGGGUUGUAAAGCCCUUUUGUUGGGAAAGAAAAGCAGCAGGUUAAUACCCCGCUGUUCUGACGGUACCCAAAGAAUAAGCACCGGCUAACUUCGUG